Molecule: long non-coding RNA, 216 nt
Filed under: Elaeis guineensis (African oil palm)
Lineage: Eukaryota; Viridiplantae; Streptophyta; Magnoliopsida; Arecales; Arecaceae
Description: long non-coding RNA (EGUI_LNC034112)
Source: RNAcentral
UGGUCCGACUUCUUACACUCAUAAUAAAUGACGAGCUGUUCUUUCUCUUUUUCUUUACUUGGCUUCCCCUUAACUAGUGGUCUUCUCUUAAUCUUUUGUCUUCUUUUCUUCAUAAACCAUCUGAAUUUUUCUAUGAUCAAUGCUAAAUCCUCAUCAUCUUCAUUGUUUUCUAAUUUUUUUGAAUUUUUUUCUUCUUGAGCCAUUGAUUUGAGGGCA